This 253-nucleotide ribosomal RNA is filed under the name uncultured bacterium. Its description in RNAcentral is "partial 16S ribosomal RNA". It matches the Rfam family "Bacterial small subunit ribosomal RNA", at positions 524 to 776 of the family's 1533-position model. The record is from RNAcentral.
UACGAGAGGCCCGAGCGUUAAUCGGAAUCACUGGGCUUAAAGGGUGCGCAGGCUGACUCGUGUGUGUGUCGUGAAAUCCCCCGGCUCAACCGGGGAAUUGCGGCGCAAACUGCGGGUCUUGAGGCGGGUAGGGGUCGUUGGAACGAUCGGUGGAGCGGUGAAAUGCGUUGAGAUCGAUCGGAACGCCGAAGGUGAAGACAAGCGACUGGGCCCGUCCUGACGCUCAUGCACGAAAGCGUGGGGAUCAAACAGG